UAAAUGAAUGUUUUACAUCGGAUAAUUCAUAACUUUCUUCUCUCAAUAGAAAUGGUCACCGGAAUCGAGACUCGUUUCUUUGAAGGACCACCACAUCAAAAAAGUCCACGUUAUUCCCUUACUGACUUUGACAGUGGACUCUUCAGGCAUGUUUAUUUUAAAGAAAGGGAAAACUGUCAUGUUUUAUACUAUAAGCAAUACACUCAUGCUGUUUGUAUAAGUAGUACUGUUGGUGAGAUUCUGUCCGUCAGUUUGGCACAAGGAGGUCCUGCCCCUACAUUUUUCAGCCAGUGGGCUUACAGUUACCUCUGCAAUGGGCAGAUCAACCCAACACAGCUGGAUAAAAAUACAGUGGCAGAUUCACAGUUGCGGUUACUGAUUGACCAGGUGGAAUCUUCAACUGAGCAGUCACUUCAGGGCCUUACUGAUGAGAUUUUAAACUGUGGAUUCACUGGAGCCAUCUCGGUUCAAAACAAGGAACCGAUUGUCUGAGCCAUUACACUCCAUGCUGUGCUUAGAUUGCAGCCAAUGUUGGAACAACUCAAGGAGGGUUUGCAGCUGUAUGGCCUCCACCUGCUGAUUAAGCAAUACCCAGAAAUCUGCCAGCCUCUCUUCGUCCUUGGGGGAGAUGUAAAAGUGAGUACAAACGUAUUUUCAGUUUUACAUGUAUGUAUUACAUACAUUUACACAUUUUGUUA
Long non-coding RNA from Haplochromis burtoni (Burton's mouthbrooder), 698 nucleotides. RefSeq lists it as uncharacterized. Lineage: Eukaryota; Metazoa; Chordata; Actinopteri; Cichliformes; Cichlidae. The record is from RefSeq and is a predicted model, not a curated record. The transcript is spliced from 3 exons.